GCUAAAUAUAAACAAUAUAUCUUUAUUCCAUCAAAAAUAAGAUUGAAAACAAAAAAAACACAGUAAUACAAUUUUAUCAAAUAGAUAUUUCUUAUUUUACAAAAAAGUAAGUACACUUACAAGUACAGAUGUUUUGCUACACCUCCCAUGAUGCUUUGUCAGUAUUAUGGGUGUAAAAGCAUUAUGGGGGACGUAGUCCACAACAUUUGGAGUGCCGAAGGUUGCCUGUCGCUGCUAUAUUGUAUGCAAAGGCAAAAAAAGACAAACAUCUGGAUAAAAUACCUUAAAGUAGUCACAGGAGUCAAUGAACCAACUCCCAGCGUUUUGGCUAUAGAGCACAGACACACUGCAUCUCCAGCACACACAAUCCUCUAUCUCAUACUAUAUCCCCAACACACACUACAUCAUUAGUACAACAAUAUAUUCUUUACAUAGACUGCAUCACCAGAAAAAACUCACUACAUCACCUACAGACGCUACCACAUAUACACACACACAUUGCAUCCCCUAUACACACAUUCCGUACACAAACACCACAUCCCUCGCACAUGCACUACAACUCCAAUGCACACACUUUAUAUAUCUGUACAUCCCCUAUACACAAAUUCACUGUAUUCCGUACACAAAACCCACAUCCCUCGCACAUGCACUACAACUCCUACGCACACACUUUAUAUAUCUGUACAUCCCUUAUACACAAAUUCACUGCAUUCCGUACACAAACGCCACAUCCCUCGCACAUGCAUUACAACUCCUAUGCACACACUUUAUAUAUCUUUACAUCCCCUAUACACACACACUACACCACAAACCGUACCCACAAGUAGUCUUUAAAAACAUUAACAAUUCCAUUUUCUGCCCCCUGCCCCACUUUGUCCUCUGGUAUACCACUUAUGGAGAUACAAUAUUAUUAUUGGCAUUUAUAUAGUGCCAGCUUAUUCUGCAGCACUUUACAAAAUUAUAAAGGAGGAAAUCUGACAAUAAAUGAGACAAUUAUGAAGUUACAGGAACAAUAGAUUGACAAGAACCCUACUCAAACAAGCUUACAGUCUAGAGGACGGGGGUAAGAAACCAUAGACAAGUCACAAGUAAUUGUGAGGUGUAUUACAAAACAACUUUGUGAUACUGACAUGCAAAAUUCACAUUACACUGUGAGGCCACUAACACAGCUCAAGCACUGGGUCCCCUUUGGCCUCCCUCCAAGCCCGUCCUCAAGGCCUACCUCCAAGUCUCGCACACAGGGCCUGCCUCCAAGUCCACCCGCAAGGAUGCAGUGUUUGUAGAGUGGAUACAGGGUGUGUGUUUUUUGUGGAUGCAGUGUGUGUUUGUGUAUUGGAUUUCAGAGUUAGAGUUUUGACUUAUUAAAAA
Molecule: non-coding RNA, 1368 nt
Organism: Pelobates cultripes (western spadefoot toad)
Lineage: Eukaryota; Metazoa; Chordata; Amphibia; Anura; Pelobatidae
Source: the annotation of a GenBank genome assembly